RNAcentral lists this ribosomal RNA (263 nucleotides) under uncultured bacterium. Its description in RNAcentral is "partial 16S ribosomal RNA". It matches the Rfam family "Bacterial small subunit ribosomal RNA", at positions 524 to 786 of the family's 1533-position model. The record is from RNAcentral.
UACGUAGGUGGCGAGCGUUAUCCGGAAUUACUGGGUGUAAAGGGAGCGCAGGCGGGGCGACAAGUCAGCUGUGAAAACUAUGGGCUUAACUCAUAGACUGCAGUUGAAACUGUUGCUCUUGAGUGGAGUAGAGGCAAGCGGAAUUCCGAGUGUAGCGGUGAAAUGCGUAGAUAUUCGGAGGAACACCAGUGGCGAAGGCGGCUUGCUGGGCUCUAACUGACGCUGAGGCUCGAAAGUGUGGGGAGCGAACAGGAUUAGAUACC